GUGCAAGAGGUGAGUUUAGCAGAACAUUCUGGAAAGUAUAGCCAUAGAGGGUGAUAGUCCCGUAUGCGAAAAACAAACCUUAGCUAGCAGUAUCCUGAGUAGGGCGGGACACGAGGAAUCCUGUCUGAAUCCGGGUCGACCACGAUCCAACCCUAAAUACUAAUACCAGAUCGAUAGUGCACAAGUACCGUGAGGGAAAGGUGAAAAGAACUGAGGUGAUCAGAGUGAAAUAGAACCUGAAACCAUUUGCUUACAAUCAUUCAGAGCACUAUGUAGCAAUACAGUGUGAUGGACUGCCUUUUGCAUAAUGAGCCUGCGAGUUGUGGUGUCUGGCAAGGUUAAGCAAACGCGAAGCCGUAGCGAAAGCGAGUCUGAAUAGGGCGCUUAGUCAGAUGCUGCAGACCCGAAACGAAGUGAUCUAUCCAUGAGCAAGUUGAAGCUAGUGUAAGAACUAGUGGAGGACUGAACCCAUAGGCGUUGAAAAGCCCCGGGAUGACUUGUGGAUAGGGGUGAAAGGCCAAUCAAACUUCGUGAUAGCUGGUUCUCUCCGAAAUAUAUUUAGGUAUAGCGUUGUGUCGUAAUAUAAGGGGGUAGAGCACUGAAUGGGCUAGGGCAUACACCAAUGUACCAAACCCUAUCAAACUCCGAAUACCUUAUAUGUAAUCACAGCAGUCAGGCGGCGAGUGAUAAAAUCCGUCGUCAAGAGGGAAACAACCCAGACUACCAGCUAAGGUCCCUAAAUCUUACUUAAGUGGAAAACGAUGUGAAGUUACUUAAACAACCAGGAGGUUGGCUUAGAAGCAGCCAUCCUUUAAAGAAAGCGUAAUAGCUCACUGGUCUAGUGAUUUUGCGCGGAAAAUAUAACGGGGCUAAAGU
RNAcentral lists this ribosomal RNA (876 nucleotides) under Campylobacter jejuni. RNAcentral describes it as "partial 23S ribosomal RNA". It matches the Rfam family "Bacterial large subunit ribosomal RNA", at positions 314 to 1188 of the family's 2925-position model. Lineage: Bacteria; Pseudomonadati; Campylobacterota; Epsilonproteobacteria; Campylobacterales; Campylobacteraceae. The record is from RNAcentral.